UGGUUCCGGCAUCGAUGAAGAACGCAGCGAAAUGCGAUAAGUAAUGUGAAUUGCAGAAUUCAGUGAAUCAUCGAAUCUUUGAACGCACAUUGCGCCCUUUGGCAUUCCGAAGGGCAUGCCUGUUCGAGCGUCAUUUCACCAAUCAAGCCCAGGCUUGGAGUUGGGCGAUUCCUGGCCUUGCCCCGUGCUCGGCCCGCCCGGAAGUCAUCGGUGGGGGAGACCGACCCCUGGCGUGUUGAGGACGAGAGUUCGUACGUCAGGAGCACCGGUCGAGCCCGGCACCGUCAACAAGCGGACGGCCCUCGCGGCCGCCCGCACACACCAAAGGUUGACCUCGGAUCAGGUAGGGAUACCCGCUGA
This 360-nucleotide unclassified non-coding RNA is filed under the name uncultured fungus. Its description in RNAcentral is "partial contains 5.8S ribosomal RNA and internal transcribed spacer 2". The stretch from base 1 to 133 matches the Rfam family "5.8S ribosomal RNA", at positions 22 to 154 of the family's 154-position model. The record is from RNAcentral. Lineage: Eukaryota; Fungi.